This 3353-nucleotide ribosomal RNA is filed under the name Triticum aestivum (bread wheat). RNAcentral describes it as "partial small subunit ribosomal RNA". The record is from RNAcentral. Lineage: Eukaryota; Viridiplantae; Streptophyta; Magnoliopsida; Poales; Poaceae.
GGACAAGUGAGAGUCAGAGAGGUCAGAGGCGGCGGGUGCGCUCCAUGCGGGUUAAGAGGUACGGUAAGGGGUAAGGGGACGAGCGGUCGAGGGGGAAAGGUAGAGUAUCCGGCGGGGAGGGGAAGCAGGGAUCUCCGCCGCGCUCCAGGCGUGCGGGGAAGAGCAACUAGGCCAGGGGCUUCAGGGGCUCCUCCGUGAGCUCGAGCCGUACCAGCACUCGCUGGGUCGCGUUCUCCGGCAGGCUCUGCGCCACCGCGUCCUAAGCAGAGUAGGCGUAGGCGACGGCACCGGUAGGGCGCAACCGCAACGGACUCGUGCCUCGUCCGGGGCUGCGGAGUGGUCGAGGCACCAGGCCCGUGAAACGAAAGUGGCCGCUCGACGGGCACGGACGGGGGUCUACGCGCAGACGGGCGCCUCCCCCUUCUCAGCUUGUUCGUUCGCGACCAUCCCCUCCUCUGCCUCUCCUCCACCUUACCCCAAGACCGCCACCCCUAGUGGCGUCCGCAGCGCGAGUAGCAGCGGAAACGGACGACGUUCUUGAGGACGAGGCGCGCGGUCACCGUCGACCCUGGUUCCCUAUACACUUUAACUGUUCCUUUUCUUUUGAAGUCUUCACUUGUGGAGACUAUCUACCCUUCUUCAGCUUGGACUUCUUCACGUGACUUCUUAGCGUCGACGCACACCGGCCAACCAAGUCCCCUGCGCCGCCCGCGGACACGUCCCGCCGGCGCCUGCGCCCGCGCCGCCGUUCUGGCCCCAGCCCCAUCCGAGAUAGAGAGGACCCGUGACCGAUGUUAGCCGUUACCGCUAGUACGUGCCUCCGCUGCCUCGCCACGCCGCUCCAGCGGCACGUUCGUCCUCUGCGACAACCACCCGCCGCAGACUGUGGUCCAGCGGUAGCACGGUCUGCCACUCUAGCUCCAGUUCCCGCACCUCAACGGAAUCUCGUUCAUAUUAUUCCGACUGAGUCGACCGAUAUUCGGGAAGGUGCAGUCGGUUUAGUGUAGACCUCCCCUCUCUUUCUCCCUCUCUCUUCGCUUGCCCGCGAAGCAGUUCGCGGCCCGACGUCGUGUUCUAUGCUCUCGAAACGCGGGCGAACGUCGGGCACCGCUCGCGAUCUCGGCCGCGAGAGCUAGGGGACGCGGAGAGGGCGGAGGGCGCGAAGAGGAAGGAGGAAGCGCGCGCUUUUAGUCGGGCACGGCAGCGGGGUUUAUCGAAGGAGCGCGGUUUAGUUCGGAAGGUUUAAAGGGGUUUAGCCGUGGAGAGGGCUUGGGAUCUUGACAGCGGCCGCGUGUAGUUCCUCUACCCAGUCGUCAGGUUUGCCUGCGCGCGCGGCCGUGGAGCACUUCGGGGAGGUGGUCGCGGAGACGAGUGGGGCGGCGGUCGCGUAGAGGACCAGGGCGGCGGCCGCGUAGACGACCAGGGCGGUGGCCGCGUAGACGACCAGAGCGGCCGCGGAUUCAGGUGGGGCGGCGGCCCCUAGGGCGGCCGGAAGGGAAGUUUCGUCUCUUGUUCGUGAACCUAGGGGUGUUCUGGUGUUCUCAGAGACCGCCGAUCAGACGUCGUUGGUUCACUUAGCCCAGGAUGCCGAGUUCCAGGAACGACCCGUGGCGGACGAACGUAGCCACUGAGAUGUAGUGGAACCAUGUACCGACCGUUAUACCUGAUGAGACUAGGUGUUCAGCCGAGUUCCAGGAACGACCCGUGGCGGACGAACGUAGCCACUGAGAUGUAGUGGAACCAUGUACCGACCGUUAUACCUGAUGAGACUAGGUGUUCAUACCCCUCACCUAAGAGUGGGUGGACCACCAAUGGAAUCAAUGAAAGUCUUGUGCCGUAACUAACGAUCCUUCAUAACUAACGUACGUAACCGCUACCCUCUUCACAGGAGAACGUACCUCCCCCGUUAAGUGGGCGCCGCUAAUACCUCAUGGUUGCUACUAGGAUCUUCGGCAACGAAGGGUCCUGGAAGCAUAAACCGUACGAAAAAAACCUCAACGACCCAGUUUAUUACUAGACUUACACGAGUUAGUUAGGGGUGACAAAAAACUACGUAACUUUCCUCUUCGGGGAGUUCAGGUUAAAAGACAGUUACCCUUACUCAUAUGGUGUCCAAUGAUGGAACGACUACCAUAUAUGGGUCUUACCCGACGGAAGUACUUCUGAUAUGGUGAAGGGGUUUAUCUCUUCGUGUUCAACAAACGGGUCUUCGUUCUUCCCCGUUCCUUUCUACAGCUCGCGCGAAAACCCCAUAAUGUCAAGGCAAAAUGGUAACAGGCAGCCGGACGUGCAGAUACCUUCUCUUUCUCACAACCUUCCUAGUACUCCCGAACACACUAAGAGGUGUUAUACUAUUAGCUUCUACUCUCUCUCGUCCGUUUUUAAGUAUAACUGAACUUACUCUAAGGCCCCCGAAGUAAACGAGAUGGAGGGCUUCACUUACAACCACCAUUAGAUACAAAGCGUCUACACAACGCAUCUUUUCGAUGAUAAGCACGAGCAGGUGUCGUACGGGUUGAAUUUUCACUAAAUCAGCUCGUAUAGACCGUAUUCAAAGUUUUGUCGGUAGUAUUAAUUAGUACCACCUUAUAACUAUAGACGUACAAGUAUAAGGAAAAAAAUGACAUUGGAACUAUAGAAUGUACGUAAAAAUAAAGUCCUCACUCGACACUACACCACUAACGCCGUCGACAAUGAAUAUCACCAACUUCCAAUAACUACGUUUACUCACCAACGAGGAAAGGUCACUUCAUGGGAGGUACGAAACACUGAAAACAGUAGCAGGUCUAGUUUUGAUACUAACAACGAACACCAGCACUUGCCGAACAAACGGCCUCUACAAUAGAUAAUACAAACGACUUACGAAAGAAUUUCUGAAUACAUUAGAAUUCAUUAAUGAGUACUACGAUACCUCAUCAUACUACGACACACUGUACAAACCUCAUGAUACUACGACAUACUGUAUACAAACAACGGAUUUACGGUCAGUCAGAAGGAUAAAGGACCAACGUACCUACCGUACAUAUACAUACGAGAAACUUUACUGGUGUUUCUACAACAAAUGAUAUCUAGUGUCGUCUAGUAUACGUGGACGUUCGUUAUUUAUGAAGUAUAAUUUACCUCGGUACGAUUAUCGGUCGGUUUUGCGGUCUGAUGAUAUACUCUCUUCCGAAAUACUACUGUACCGUAACGAUAUAUCGGUCGUCGGCCGACACGAUAAUAGAAACGAAAAUCAAACGCUAGUAUAAAGGUACUAACAUCCCCGGCGCUCUGACCAUCAAGGUUAUGUUCCCGCACCUCAACGGAAUCAAACGCCUGACCAUCAAGGUUAUGGGGAGAGCGAAGUGCCAAUC